GGGCCCUUAGCUCAAUUGGAUAGAGCAUUUGACUACGGAUCAAAAGGUUGGGGGUUCGAGUCCCUCAGGGCCCG
RNAcentral lists this transfer RNA (74 nucleotides) under Gemmatimonadota bacterium. RNAcentral describes it as "Gemmatimonadetes bacterium (activated sludge metagenome) tRNA-Arg". It matches the Rfam family "tRNA". Rfam says of the family: Transfer RNA (tRNA) molecules are approximately 80 nucleotides in length. Their secondary structure includes four short double-helical elements and three loops (D, anti-codon, and T loops). Lineage: Bacteria; Pseudomonadati; Gemmatimonadota. RNAcentral also lists the same sequence under 2 other names. The record is from RNAcentral.